GAAAUGCGAUAAGUAAUGUGAAUUGCAGAAUUCAGUGAAUCAUCGAAUCUUUGAACGCACCUUGCGCUCCUUGGUAUUCCUUGGAGCAUGCCUGUUUGAGUAUCAUGAAAUCUUCAAAGUAAAUCUUUUGUUAACUCAAUUGGUUUCUACUUUGGUAUUGGAGGUCUUUGCAGCUUCACACCUGCUCCUCUUUGUUCAUUAGCUGGAUCUCAGUGUUAUGCUUGGUUCCACUCGGCGUGAUAAGUUAUCUAUCGCUGAGGACACUGUAAAAGGUGGCCAAGGUAAAUGCAGAUGAACCGCUUCUAAUAGUCCAUUGACUUGGACAAUACCUUUAUGAUCUGAUCUCCAAUCAGGUAGGACUACCCGCUGAACUUAAGC
This 378-nucleotide unclassified non-coding RNA is filed under the name plant metagenome. RNAcentral describes it as "partial contains 5.8S ribosomal RNA, internal transcribed spacer 2, and large subunit ribosomal RNA". The stretch from base 1 to 105 matches the Rfam family "5.8S ribosomal RNA", at positions 50 to 154 of the family's 154-position model. The record is from RNAcentral.